This 451-nucleotide ribosomal RNA is filed under the name uncultured bacterium. Its description in RNAcentral is "partial 16S ribosomal RNA". It matches the Rfam family "Bacterial small subunit ribosomal RNA", at positions 356 to 799 of the family's 1533-position model. The record is from RNAcentral.
UGGGAAUUUUGGACAAUGGGCGAAAGCCUGAUCCAGCAAUGCCGCGUGUGUGAAGAAGGCCUUCGGGUUGUAAAGCACUUUUGUCCGGAAAGAAAUCCUUGGCUCUAAUACAGUCGGGGGAUGACGGUACCGGAAGAAUAAGCACCGGCUAACUACGUGCCAGCAGCCGCGGUAAUACGUAGGGUGCAAGCGUUAAUCGGAAUUACUGGGCGUAAAGCGUGCGCAGGCGGUUUGCUAAGACCGAUGUGAAAUCCCCGGGCUCAACCUGGGAACUGCAUUGGUGACUGGCAGGCUAGAGUAUGGCAGAGGGGGGUAGAAUUCCACGUGUAGCAGUGAAAUGCGUAGAGAUGUGGAGGAAUACCGAUGGCGAAGGCAGCCCCCUGGGCCAAUACUGACGCUCAUGCACGAAAGCGUGGGGAGCAAACAGGAUUAGAUACCCUGGUAGUCCACG